This 253-nucleotide ribosomal RNA is filed under the name uncultured bacterium. RNAcentral describes it as "partial 16S ribosomal RNA". It matches the Rfam family "Bacterial small subunit ribosomal RNA", at positions 524 to 776 of the family's 1533-position model. The record is from RNAcentral.
UACGUAGGGUGCGAGCGUUAAUCGGAAUUACUGGGCGUAAAGCGUGCGCAGGCGGUUCGUUAAGUUCGUUGUGAAAGCCCCGGGCUCAACCUGGGAACUGCAAUGGAAACUGGCGGGCUUGAGUGUGGCAGAGGGGGGUGGAAUUCCGCGUGUAGCAGUGAAAUGCGUAGAGAUGCGGAGGAACACCGAUGGCGAAGGCAGCCCCCUGGGCCAACACUGACGCUCGGGCACGAAAGCGUGGGGAGCAAACAGG